AGGAAGCAGGGUGAGAGCAGAGCUGGGGACCCUCCCGAAGAGGAUCUGCACUACGCCUCGGUGACUGCAAGGGGACGUCCCCAGCCCCUGAGAGAACAUGUCACAACGUACGCCAGCAUCGUGCCGCCGAGGGAGCCACCUUGCUAGCUCGCCGGGACCAUGCCGUGGCACGGGGGAGCAGCACGGCGAGGAAGGGCUGCGCCCUGUCACUCUGCAAGACCCAAAGCUCAGUGCAUGCUGGUGGCAGCUGGUUCCCAACAGCACCUGGGGCGCCGAGCUGGCUCUGCUUUGCGCUUCUUGGGUCUCUGCCCAGGUUUGCUGCAGGAAGGAAGCUCUUCUUCACCUUCACCUUGUACCUGGUGUGGGGUCUUCAGUGGGAGUGUGCACCGCUGCUAACGGUGCAGGUUUUUUCAUGCUCCAAAUGCUGAAGACCCUGGAAGCCUUCUGCGCCUGCCAGGUUGUCCUUUCAGGUGCUCCGCUUAGAGCUCAGAUGCUGCCAUGCAAGGCGGCUGCACCACAGCACGUCCUGAAGGAGACCUUUUCCACCUGGCAACCUCCUGGUGCCCCUUUGUGGGGGCCUGCAAGGAUUCCCAGCUGCUUUUCCUCUCUUCCUACCCUCUCCAUACUGGGGAU
Molecule: long non-coding RNA, 633 nt
Organism: Dromaius novaehollandiae (emu)
Lineage: Eukaryota; Metazoa; Chordata; Aves; Casuariiformes; Dromaiidae
Exons: 3
Source: RefSeq, a predicted model, not a curated record